AGGCUGGCCCCCUGGCAAGGUGUUGACUCCCAGCAGCCUCAGGGACAUCACGGGUUUCUUGGCUGUUUCUUGCUGGCUGGAUUGUGGGACGUAUUAAGAAGAGGUAAGCCUUGUUCUAUGUUGAGAACCUGAAGCAUAACACAUAGACAUCACUGUAAAACAUGACAGCCAUAAGUGGUUAGGGAAAAUCUACUCCUCAGGUCCAGGCUAAGAGGGAGGGAACGGACUCCCUCCAACUGAAGUGAAAUACCACACUGAUUACUUAGCUACAAGUUGCCAUCCAUCCUGGGCUUCCUGUUGUAAAAGGCCUCUCCAAUUCUCCUCAGUACACAAUAGACCACACAUUCCACAGCCACUACGUUUAUUUCCUCCCGGUUACGCACUGACUUUACAUCACUGAAAAUGAUGACCAUACAUUUUCUGACCAUAAAGAAGAGGGAAGCCACCAGGCAUCCCUCGGCAAACAGAAAAAGAGAGUUCUUUCCUCACUUCCUGGUACUGUCUGGAUUGAGGAAUUGGAUUGGAGACAGAGCAACCGUCCAAUGACCAGGAGGAGACAGGACUGGCGAUUAAAAGCUUCCUGAUGAAGACCACACCAAAGAAGAAGGCUUACAAGAUCACUGAGGUCUCCAGGGCCCAGGUUUUGACCCAAAAAUUUUUCCUAAAAAACAAUUUUAUGCCAUGAAACUUUAUUU
Non-coding RNA from Rattus norvegicus (Norway rat), 695 nucleotides. The record is from RefSeq and is a predicted model, not a curated record. NCBI's taxonomy places the organism in Eukaryota, Metazoa, Chordata, Mammalia, Rodentia, Muridae.